This 72-nucleotide transfer RNA is filed under the name Ovis aries (sheep). It matches the Rfam family "tRNA". From Rfam's summary of the family: Transfer RNA (tRNA) molecules are approximately 80 nucleotides in length. Their secondary structure includes four short double-helical elements and three loops (D, anti-codon, and T loops). The record is from Rfam by way of RNAcentral. Lineage: Eukaryota; Metazoa; Chordata; Mammalia; Artiodactyla; Bovidae.
UCCCUGGUGGCUCAGAAGUUAAAGAGUCUGCCUGCAAUGCAGGAGACCUGGGUUCGAUCCCUGGGUUGGGAA